This is an RNA transcript of Brassica oleracea var. oleracea, 1630 nucleotides long. RefSeq lists it as uncharacterized. The transcript has 7 exons. NCBI's taxonomy places the organism in Eukaryota, Viridiplantae, Streptophyta, Magnoliopsida, Brassicales, Brassicaceae. The record is from RefSeq and is a predicted model, not a curated record.
UCGCGAUGUUGUGUGUGUUCUUCUUCUUCCUUGUUCGACGGCUACGGUGACUCUUGCCCUUCCUCACGAAUCUGAAACUGAGAGCGUUAUGGUUUUUACGUGUUUAUCCCAUUAAUUCAGACGCCCACUACGAGUUCUUCAAUGUGUCUUUUAGAUCUGAAAGGCGGUUUGAUUCGGUAUAAAUAGAUGUGAGUAUUCUCCCCGGUGGAUUUGACAUAUGGUAGAUGUGCUCAGAACUCCAAGCUUUCCGACUCCUCUUUACUGAUUAGGUUCAAUGAUUCAACCGAUUUUGACGAGUUAACCGAACCGGUCUCUCCGUUACACAGCUUCCAGGAAGGUGCUCAGAUAUUUUAGGAAAGAUGGGCACAACUGGAGGAAGAAGAAAGAUGGUGAAACAGUGAAAGAGGCGCACGAAAAGCUCAAGGUUGGAAGCAUUGAUGUGUUACAUUGUUACUAUGCACAUGAGGAAGACAAUGAGAAUUUCCAUAGGCGUUGCUACUGGAUGCUUGAACAGGAACUGAUGCAUGUUGUUUUUGUUCAAUACUUGGAGGUUAAGGAUAAGCUCCAUUGGAAUAAAAGAAAACAAUUCAAAUUCUCUGAGUGGCUCCACUUCUGUGAAAAUUGAUUCAACGCAAACACAUCCAGCACAUUGUCACCACUAUGUGAAGAUGCUGAUUCUGGUAUAUAUAGUUAUCUUUAGCUUUAUGUAUGUUUAGGGACAUAGUUCUAUUUACAGGCUACCUUGCUUUACUAAAAGAAGGUUUCCUUCCUUCCUCUUCCGCCACAUCGGAUUCCACGUAGAUAAGUUGAAUUCUGUGAGCGCGACACAUGUCCAGCUAAUUAAACUCACCGUUUCAUUUAAUUUUGUGUGCAAUUAGUACAGACAGGCUUUGCUAUGUGCGUUCUGUUUAAACUUAACAUUUAUUGGGCUAUUUGUUUAAUUCAAGAUUUCGUUAGCCCGUUACCGAUAGUCUCUUUCCACUUCAUCUAAUACACGCCAAAUUAGGGUUCAUCAUCCAUCGAUCUCCGACACUUAAAAUUUUUCUUCAGCAUUCUCUAACACCAUCAAUGGCGUCUUCACUUGCAUCGUUAUGCCUUCUCUUCUAAACAACCGAAAUGGUCAGAGUUAAAGAUUCAUCGCUUUUAAUUCCAUAGACCGACGUGAAUACGAUCUGACAUUGAUUGUGAGUUAUCCUAUGCAAGGCGGUCUAUUAUACACCUAUAAAAAAGAUUAGCUUUCUUCACUUGAGUAUCAUCCUCUCAAUCCGUGAAAAUACCAAAUUUAAUAAAUUCUCUUUGUGGCCGCUGCUCCUUUGCUCAGGUUCUGGGAACCCAAGAAUGGCGAACGUGGUGGGGAACUCAUGUCUCUUGAUAUGCUCUUACUGGAUUCAAAGUAUUUUCUCAGAGAAGUUUCCUUCUUCUCCGGGCCUGCACUUUUGGGUGCGUAUCCUAGAUUUUGGUUCCUAAGGGAACUGGUAUUGCAUGACAAACACUCAAGUUAUGAUCCAUCAACCACUUGGGUACUGCCGGAGCCAAAGCAACCAAAAUGAAUAUUGGCAUAAGAGAAUGAUGUCCCACAAAAUUUAACUAAACAAAACCUUCUCUAAAAUCACCGGAAACCUGAAUCACA